UGGAAGAAGUCUCCGUUUUUUGUUUUUUUUUGAGACAGAGUCUCCCUCUGUCGCCCAGGCUGCAGUGCAAUGGCGCCAUCUCGGCUCGCUGCAAGCUCCGCCUCCUGGGUUCACGCCAUUCUUCCUCCUCAGCCUCUAGAGUAGCUGGGAUUACAGGCGCCCGCCACCACCCCCGGCUACUUUUUUUGUAUUUUUAGUAGAGACGGGGUUUCACCGUGUUAGCCAGGAUGGUCUCGAUCUCCUGACCUAGUGAUCCGCCCGCCUCGACCUCCCACAGUGCUGGGAUGCCCGCCUCGACCUCCCAAAGUGCUGGGAUUACAGGCGUGAGCCACUGCGCCUGGCCGAAGUCUCCAUUUUAUGGACGUUUCUUUCACUUUUCAUCUGGGAGGAGGAAGGGCUAAAUCAGGAGAGGCUUUUACCAUAGAGAAGUACAGAUGAAGGUAGGCUACACAUGAUAGGCCUAUAGAAGAAGGUAGGCCAUCUACAAGCCAAGGAGAAAGGACUUACAUGAAACCAGCCCUGCCAACGCCCUCUAUCUUUACAUGGUCUUCACUCUGUAAUGAAUAAUAAUUUGGGACAUACUCAUCAACUUCCAGGAGUUUGACAGCAUUCAUUUGCCAAACUGUGUUUGGGUGCAAGGUGCCAGAUAUACAAAG
This 656-nucleotide long non-coding RNA is filed under the name Homo sapiens (human). Its description in RNAcentral is "HSALNT0210135". The record is from RNAcentral. Lineage: Eukaryota; Metazoa; Chordata; Mammalia; Primates; Hominidae.